AUACGUAGGGGGCGAGCGUUGUCCGGAAUUACUGGGUGUAAAGGGAGCGUAGGUGGGACUGCAAGUCAGAUGUGAAAUACCGGGGCUUAACCCCGGAGCUGCAUUUGAAACUGUGGUUCUUGAGUGAAGUAGAGGCAAGCGGAAUUCCCGGUGUAGCGGUGAAAUGCGUAGAGAUCGGGAGGAACACCAGUGGCGAAGGCGGGUAACUGGGCUGCAACUGACGCUGAGGCGCGAAAGUGUGGGGAGCAAACAGGAUUAGAUACCCUGGUAGUCCACACUGUAAACGAUGAAUGCUAGGUGUAAGAGGUAUCGACCCCUUUUGUGCCGGGGUUAACACAAUAAGCAUUCCGCCUGGGGAGUACGGCCGCAAGGUUGAAACUCAAAUGAAUUGACGGGG
RNAcentral lists this ribosomal RNA (397 nucleotides) under uncultured bacterium. Its description in RNAcentral is "partial 16S ribosomal RNA". It matches the Rfam family "Bacterial small subunit ribosomal RNA", at positions 523 to 918 of the family's 1533-position model. The record is from RNAcentral.